This 763-nucleotide ribosomal RNA is filed under the name Trichormus variabilis RPAN40. RNAcentral describes it as "bacterial SSU rRNA". It matches the Rfam family "Bacterial small subunit ribosomal RNA", at positions 1 to 1042 of the family's 1533-position model. Lineage: Bacteria; Bacillati; Cyanobacteriota; Cyanophyceae; Nostocales; Nostocaceae. The record is from RNAcentral.
GAAAGAGUGAAGUAGGUAUGGGGAUUGGAUUAAGAAGAGAAAGGAGGGGGAAGGGGGAGAACAGAACGGAGGGGCGGAGAGACGCCGGCGUGGGGAAUCUUCCGCAAUGGGCGAAAGCCUGACGGAGCAAUACCGCGUGAGGGAGGAAGGCUCUUGGGUUGUAAACCUCUUUUCUCAGGGAAGAACACAAUGACGGUACCUGAGGAAUCAGCAUCGGCUAACUCCGUGCCAGCAGCCGCGGUAAUACGGAGGAUGCAAGCGUUAUCCGGAAUGAUUGGGCGUAAAGCGUCCGCAGGUGGUGAUGUAAGUCUGCUGUCAAAGCGUCUAGCUCAACUAGAUACAGGCAGUGGAAACUACAUGACUAGAGUGCGUUCGGGGCAGAGGGAAUUCCUGGUGUAGCGGUGAAAUGCGUAGAUAUCAGGAAGAACACCGGUGGCGAAAGCGCUCUGCUAGGCCGCAACUGACACUGAGGGACGAAAGCUAGGGGAGCGAAUGGGAUUAGAUACCCCAGUAGUCCUAGCCGUAAACGAUGGAUACUAGGCGUGGCUUGUAUCGACCCGAGCCGUGCCGUAGCUAACGCGUUAAGUAUCCCGCCUGGGGAGUACGCACGCAAGUGUGAAACUCAAAGGAAUUGACGGGGGCCCGCACAANCGGUGGAGUAUGUGGUUUAAUUUGAUGCAACGCGAAGAACCUUACCAAGACUUGACAUGUCGCGAAUCCUGCUAAAGGCGGGAGUGCCUUCGGGAGCGCGAACACAGGUGGG